GCUGCCUUUUCCUCAUAGCAGAUAAUAAGAAAGAAUGGGGACAAAUGUCCCUGAAUACGGAGGCCAGGAACAUCUUGUCUAUCCAAAAAGGGAAAAAAAAGAAUUGAUUUCUGUUUCACUUUUACAGAGCACGGAGCCACUAGCUUCAUCAUCACCUCUAGACUGUCCGAGUCCCAGUGAGUUCAGGCCUACAAAAGACCAUUUACUGAGCAGCACACGAAAGCGGAGGUAAACGAGGAAGCCAGGCCAGCUGCUGCAAGAGACAGACGCAGGGCUGGGUGAGACCACGAGGCCUGUGGCAGAGGCCUUGACGGGCCACUGAGCCACCUGGAGGAGGGCAGUGAUGUGAAAGCAGGUAUGGGCUGUGCCAGCAGUGUCGAGAGCACGGUGAGAGCUAGGCUGUAGGCUGAGCUGCCCACGGUUGUUCCCAAGCUCUCAUGGUCUUUCUUGGCCUUGGAUUCUGCUGUCCAACGAGGCUUGCAUACAGAACUUGCUUGGGG
This 500-nucleotide long non-coding RNA is filed under the name Capra hircus (goat). Its description in RNAcentral is "lncRNA (ENSCHIG00000006816.1)". Lineage: Eukaryota; Metazoa; Chordata; Mammalia; Artiodactyla; Bovidae. The record is from RNAcentral.